UAUUUUUGUUUCGUUUUGACAAGAGCAACAUGCGACACAUGUGCAAUUGGCAUGUUGUCAAAAAAUUUUCAAGUGGGCUGUCAAAUUCUGAAUAAUGUUGCGAGAAAUUUGCCUGUUUUUCACUUCAGUAAGAAAGUAUUACAAAACGGCAAGUCUAUCGAGUGGUCUGAAAAUAAAACUCGUUUAAUCUCCGAGCAACACCAAAAGAAGCUUGAACAAUGUCCUUCGUCGUUCGUACAAGUCUGCUGUAAAAAGUUAUUUUCCAAAUCAAAGCCUAAUUGCAAAACAAUUACAGCCAGUGACGAUUAUUUAAAGGCACGACAAUCUCUAAAGCUUCAUAUUAAGGAUCUGAUAAAAUUCGUGGAGAAUGAAUCGCAAAUAAUUACGAACGACAUAAAGAAUCGUUUGGAUAGCAACAGAGCCGUUUGUGCGACUCAAUUAGAGAAUCUCUUUAAGAAGACGACGGAAAAACUGGACGAACUGAUGAAAUUAGACGUUUCUUACGGCAGCUGGAUGCGACAGAAGACGUUGCUGCUCAAUGACGAGAUAAAACGAUCUUUUGACGCUCUGGAACGAGUGAUCGGUCCAAACGAGAAGCGUAUAGCGUCUAUGUUAAAGAAAUUGCGAAGUGACGUGUCGAUCUGCAUUGAGAGCGCGGAGAGAAAUCUCUCCGUGUGUCGCAAACAUUAUCUUCCUUUCGAUCUCACGAAAUGCACGAAGGAACAGUCGGACGAAGCGACGAAAAUGCUCGGUCGGAUGAAGGAGGAAACACGUCGUAAGUUCGAAGAGAUCGCCAAGUUUCGCGAGACAGUUCUGAGAGCACAUGAGAUGACGACGCAGGAAGCGAUAGAGAUAAACCAUAAAAAAACAAUGGAUUUAUUGAAGUACCUGGAGAAAUGUAUCGUCAAGCUGAAGAGUUCGAACAAGUAGCGCAAAAAACAUGGAACUGAGAAAUAGGCAAUCUUAAAAUUGCGAACAAUUCGGAGAAGUCAGCCUCAAAAUUCUGUUUCAAACUUCAGAAAUAAAUGCGUAACAGAGCCGUUUAUCUUCGCGCGCCUUUGUGAUUGGAUACACGCACAUAAUGUUUCUUUUAAAUGAAGAUUUAUGGCACAAAAGUGUAAAAGACUUGACGAGAAUCAGUCGUAAACCUACUGGACGUUGAAACGAGAUUCUAAAAUUACGCGUUUUCUGGGAAGCUUCACUAAAUUCUCACCAUCGUUCAUGAACGAUUGCGCCGCGACCAC
Molecule: RNA transcript, 1244 nt
Organism: Trachymyrmex cornetzi
Lineage: Eukaryota; Metazoa; Arthropoda; Insecta; Hymenoptera; Formicidae
Exons: 4
Source: RefSeq, a predicted model, not a curated record